This 497-nucleotide ribosomal RNA is filed under the name uncultured bacterium. RNAcentral's name for it is "partial 16S ribosomal RNA". It matches the Rfam family "Bacterial small subunit ribosomal RNA", at positions 28 to 507 of the family's 1533-position model. The record is from RNAcentral.
GAUGAACGCUGACGGCGUGCCUAAUACAUGCAAGUCGAGCGAACAGACGAGGAGCUUGCUCCUCUGACGUUAGCGGCGGACGGGUGAGUAACACGUGGAUAACCUACCUAUAAGACUGGGAUAACUUCGGGAAACCGGAGCUAAUACCGGAUAAUAUAUUGAACCGCAUGGUUCAAUAGUGAAAGACGGUUUUGCUGUCACUUAUAGAUGGAUCCGCGCCGCAUUAGCUAGUUGGUAAGGUAACGGCUUACCAAGGCAACGAUGCGUAGCCGACCUGAGAGGGUGAUCGGCCACACUAGAACUGAGACACGGUCCAGACUCCUACGGGAGGCAGCAGUAGGGAAUCUUCCGCAAUGGGCGAAAGCCUGACGGAGCAACGCCGCGUGAGUGAUGAAGGUCUUCGGAUCGUAAAACUCUGUUAUUAGGGAAGAACAAAUGUGUAAGUAACUAUGCACGUCUUGACGGUACCUAAUCAGAAAGCCACGGCUAACUACGUG